Non-coding RNA from Paramuricea clavata, 861 nucleotides. The record is from the annotation of a GenBank genome assembly. NCBI's taxonomy places the organism in Eukaryota, Metazoa, Cnidaria, Anthozoa, Malacalcyonacea, Plexauridae.
AUAAAGCAGAAUCAAAAGAUGAGAGCUUUGCUGGUUCAUGGGUAGUCAAAGAAUAUAAUGAAAAUGCAUUGGAUGUCAUUGCUGAGACCAAUCAAACUCUCGAAACCCAUACAAAGAAGGUUGUACAAAUGCACAGCUUAGCCCAGAACUUUGCAAGCCAACUGAAGACAAGUGUUGAGCAAAAUGGCAUGCAAGAAUCUUUUAAUGAUUGUUUUCAUUAUGGGAGUGUCUACUUAGGAAAAAAAGGUGACGAAUUUGUCACAGUUGAAGAGUUUGUAGAUGGAGAGUUUAGUAAGUAUAUAAACAAUGAUGGCACAUUGUGCAAGAAUGUCAACGAAGUUAUAUUACAGAAAGCAGAGUGUCUUUCUCAUUUUUCUUUUGAAAAAUCCAACAAUCAGGUAAUGGUGUUAGAUAUCCAAGGAUGUGGCUACUCCCUUGUAGACCCAGAAGUUGCAUCAUCUUCCCUCUUUGAUGAAAAUAAAGAAUUACUUUUUACCACAGGGAAUUUGUCAUUUGAAGCAAUUGCAAAAUUUAAACUCAUUCAUCGAUGUAAUGAGUACUGUGAGCUUCUGAAGCUUAAAGUACUUGUAUAGAAAGAAUACACAAACUGCUGUUAGGGGAUUUCAAGUAAUGAUAUAUCUUUAAAACAUUGUUCUUAUUUCAGUUUGGUGUAUAACAAGGACACCUAAAACUUGAUAUUAUCGACAUUAUCUGUUAGUUACUCUUAGAAGAUUCAUUAAUGUCUUUUAAGAACAUAUCAGACUUUAAAUCGCAUCCCUAGUAAUGUGGUAGCAAAGAGUGACUGGGCAAGCAUCUGUUAACACCAGGUUAUAAUAAAAACUUUUAUGAACACAUUGGGCA